RNAcentral lists this ribosomal RNA (426 nucleotides) under uncultured cyanobacterium. RNAcentral's name for it is "bacterial SSU rRNA". It matches the Rfam family "Bacterial small subunit ribosomal RNA", at positions 357 to 795 of the family's 1533-position model. The record is from RNAcentral. Lineage: Bacteria; Bacillati; Cyanobacteriota.
GGGAAUUUUCCGCAAUGGGCGAAAGCCUGACGGAGCAAUACCGCGUGAGGGAGGAAGGCUCUUGCGGUUGUAAACCUCUUUAUCUCAGGGAAUAAGAACUGAAGGUACCUGAGGAAUCAGCAUCGGCUAACUCCGUGCCAGCAGCCGCGGCUAAUACGGAGGAUGCAAGCGUUAUCCGGCAAUGAUUGGGCGUAAAGCGCCCGCAGGUGGUUUAUCAAGUCUGCUGUCAAAGAGUUUGGCUCAACCAAAUAAAGGCAGUGGAAACUGACAGACUGGAGUGCGGUAAGGGCAGAGGGGAUUCCUGGUGUAGCGGUGAAAUGCGUAGAGAUCAGGAAGAACACCGGUGGCGAAAGCGCUCUGCUGGGCCGUAACUGACACUGAGGGACGAAAGCUAGGGGAGCGAAUGGGAUUAGAUACCCCAUAGUC